RNAcentral lists this ribosomal RNA (505 nucleotides) under uncultured bacterium. Its description in RNAcentral is "bacterial SSU rRNA". It matches the Rfam family "Bacterial small subunit ribosomal RNA", at positions 53 to 523 of the family's 1533-position model. The record is from RNAcentral.
ACGAGCGCAUUGGCCCAACUGAUAUGACGUGCUUGCACUGAAUUGACGUUGGAUUACCAGUGAGCGGCGGACGGGUGAGUAACACGUGGGCAACCUGCCCUGAAGCGGGGGAUAACAUCUGGAAACAGGUGCUAAUACCGCAUAACAACGAAAACCACAUGGUUUUCGUUUCAAAGAUGGUUUCGGCUAUCACUUCAGGAUGGGCCCGCGGUGCAUUAGCUAGUUGGUAAGGUAACGGCUUACCAAGGCAAUGAUGCAUAGCCGAGUUGAGAGACUGAUCGGCCACAAUGGAACUGAGACACGGUCCAUACUCCUACGGGAGGCAGCAGUAGGGAAUCUUCCACAAUGGGCGCAAGCCUGAUGGAGCAACACCGCGUGAGUGAAGAAGGGUUUCGGCUCGUAAAGCUCUGUUGUUGGAGAAGAACGUGCGUGAGAGUAACUGUUCACGCAGUGACGGUAUCCAACCAGAAAGUCACGGCUAACUACGUGCCAGCAGCCGCGGUAA